GACGAACGCUGGCGGCGUGCUUAACACAUGCAAGUCGAACGGAAAGGCCCUGCUUUUGUGGGGUGCUCGAGUGGCGAACGGGUGAGUAACACGUGAGUAACCUGCCCUUGACUUUGGGAUAACUUCAGGAAACUGGGGCUAAUACCGGAUAGGAGCUCCUGCUGCAUGGUGGGGGUUGGAAAGUUUCGGCGGUUGGGGAUGGACUCGCGGCUUAUCAGCUUGUUGGUGGGGUAGUGGCUUACCAAGGCUUUGACGGGUAGCCGGCCUGAGAGGGUGACCGGCCACAUUGGGACUGAGAUACGGCCCAGACUCCUACGGGAGGCAGCAGGGGGGAAUAUUGCACAAUGGGCGGAAGCCUGAUGCAGCAACGCCGAGUGCGGGAUGACGGCCUUCGGGUUGUAAACCGCUUUCGCCUGUGACGAAGCGUGAGUGACGGUAAUGGGUAAAGAAGCACCGGCUAACUACGUG
Molecule: ribosomal RNA, 468 nt
Filed under: uncultured bacterium
Lineage: Bacteria
Description: partial 16S ribosomal RNA
Rfam family: Bacterial small subunit ribosomal RNA
Source: RNAcentral